RNAcentral lists this unclassified non-coding RNA (244 nucleotides) under Hevea brasiliensis (rubber tree). The record is from RNAcentral. Lineage: Eukaryota; Viridiplantae; Streptophyta; Magnoliopsida; Malpighiales; Euphorbiaceae.
AGAAGGGCGCAAACAGUAUGCCAUGUAUGAUACUCUGUUCUUUGUUAUUAUACUGACAGACAUAGGUAUGCAGAGAAACAAAUACACAAGCACAGAUAUACACUGGGGUAGUUAGUGAAUUUGGCAACUUGAGUAUUGUCAUUGCUAGUGGUUAGGUUUUUUCCUCCUCAUAUUUCAACCAAAGAUAAUACAAUUUUAUCAUUGUGUACUUUUUUUAGUUAGCUACUGCACAUAUUAGAAUAUG